GACUACCGGGGUAUCUAAUCCUGUUUGCUACCCACGCUUUCGUGCCUCAGUGUCAGUGACAGUCCAGAAGGCCGCCUUCGCCACCGGUGUUCCUCCUAAUAUCUACGCAUUUCACCGCUACACUAGGAAUUCCGCCUUCCUCUCCUGUACUCAAGCUACCCAGUUCGCGGGGCGGACAACGGUUGGGCCGUUGUCUUAAACCCCGCGCUUGAGCAGCCACCUACGCACUCUUUACGCCCAGUAAUUCCGGAUAACGCUUGCCCCCUACGUAUUACCGCGGCUGCUGGCACGUAGUUAGCCGGGGCUUCCUCCAAGGGUACCGUCAUUUUUUUCUUCCCCUUGGACAGAGGUUUACGACCCGAAGGCCUUCUUCCCUCACGCGGCGUCGCUGCAUCAGGCUUUCGCCCAUUGUGCAAUAUUCCCCACUGCAGCCCCCCGUAGG
This 442-nucleotide ribosomal RNA is filed under the name uncultured Eubacteriales bacterium. RNAcentral describes it as "uncultured Clostridiales bacterium partial 16S ribosomal RNA". The record is from RNAcentral. Lineage: Bacteria; Bacillati; Bacillota; Clostridia; Eubacteriales.